UUGAUCCUGGCUCAGAAUCAACGCUGGCGGCGUGCCUAACACAUGCAAGUCGAACGCGAAAGUCCCGCAAGGGAUUAGUAGAGUGGCAAACGGGUGAGUUACACGUGGGUGACCUGCCUUCGAGUGGGGGAUAACGUCCCGAAAGGGACUCUAAUACCGCAUGACAUCCUGCCUUUGAAGAGGUGGAGAUCAAAGCUGGUGAUCGUAAGACCUAGCGCUCAAAGAGGGGCCCGCGCCUGAUUAGCUAGUUGGUGGGGUAAUGGCUCACCAAGGCAACGAUCAGUAUCCGGCCUGAGAGGUCGGACGGACACACUGGGACUGAGACACGGCCCAGACUCCUACGGGAGGCUGCAGUGGGGAAUUGUUCGCAAUGGGCGCAAGCCUGACGACGCAACGCCGUGUGGAGGAUGAAGACCUUCGGGUCGUAAACUCCUUUCGAUCGAGACGAAUGGUUUCCGGGUGAACAAUCCGGAAGAGUGACGGUACCGAGAGAAGAAGCUCCGGCUAACUACGUGCCAGCAGCCGCGGUAAUAAGGU
Molecule: ribosomal RNA, 537 nt
Filed under: uncultured Acidobacteriota bacterium
Lineage: Bacteria; Pseudomonadati; Acidobacteriota
Description: bacterial SSU rRNA
Rfam family: Bacterial small subunit ribosomal RNA
Source: RNAcentral